This is a non-coding RNA of Notechis scutatus (mainland tiger snake), 1074 nucleotides long. The record is from RefSeq and is a predicted model, not a curated record. NCBI's taxonomy places the organism in Eukaryota, Metazoa, Chordata, Lepidosauria, Squamata, Elapidae.
UCCUUUCUUUCCUCCUCCAUUCUUCUCGCUUUUUUAUGUUAAAAUAUUCCAUUUGUUUAAACCAACCCAACUUGGUGGGCUUUAUUAUUUAUUAUUUCUCCUGACUGUUAAUUAGGAUUUUAUUUUUAUUUUUCAAAAUACUUUGAUUCUGGGUAAUUGGAAGCUAAGGUUUUUGGUGUGUGGUGUUUUUUUUUUUUGGAUUUUUGCCACCCUACGCAAGGGAAAGAAAAUUGUUGAAUCAUAUCAGACUUGCAAUUCAACAUGGCAGCCCCUGCUAAGAUUGUCUAGUUUUGCAAGGCUGAAAGACAUUGCAAGAAAUGCCCCUUUCUGGGGACAUAAAUUUUGAUAGAGCUAACAAAGGGAUAGAGAAAUAAGUAGCUCUUUGGAGGAAUGAUUGGGGGAAUUUUAUAUGCUGUCUUCAAGAAGAGGGAGAAUUCGGCCAUGUUAUCCUCAUCUCAGUAUUUUAAAAAGAGAGAGAAUGGAUUCUCCAGGGUGCAGAAAUGAUGGCAGAAGAUUGCAUUUGAUCAGCCAUCUUUAUCUGAACCUCAAGACCAUCAAUGUUCUUCAUAGCCAUCAUGGAAGUUUGCCAGUCCUAAACAUCAAAACAAUGCUGUCCUUGAGGCUGAGGUAGUAGAUUGAAUAGUUGUGGAGCCAUCUUCUCCCUUUGAGCUAACUAUACAAUCUACUGUCUUUCCUAAGGAGACAGUCAAUUCAACUUCUCCCAUGGGAUUACCCAUUUCUACAUGCAAGUUAUCAUCAUGAACAAUGAUCAUUUUGAGGCCCUUGGGUGUCAGGCAUGCAGUUCUAUAAAUAUGCAAAUGUGUGAGGUCUUUGUGUUGCUUUGUGGAGGUGAGGUAGUAGGUUGUAUAGUUUGUGGGAGGGAUUAAAUCCCAUUUCAGGUGAUAACUAUACAGUCUAUUGCCUUCCUUAAGGAGCAGCAAAUCUGCUUUGAGAGAUGAAUGAUACAGCAAUUAUAUGCCACAUUGAGCAACCCAACAAAACCCUGGCUCCUUACUGAUUCUACAUUGUAGGAAAAGCUUCUACCCGUAUUCUGGAUUAAACACAACAAUCAUG